AGAGUCUGUCGGUAUUCUUCAUGGUACACAUAUUUUGACAAGCUUGUUUCUUGUACAGCUCCAUUUGGAAUUGUGAAUUCAUCUAUCUGAAAGGAGAUUCAUGAAAUGCAUAAUCAAUCAUUUUUCAAAUACAUGGAGAAAAUAUUGGUAAUUCCUUCAAAUGAGAUACAUUCUGUGUCUUUUUCAUUCUUUGGCUUGGUGUUGAACAUUUGAACUCCUUGGGAUUACUUUGUAGAAGUAACAGAAAUGCCUGGCAUCUGCAUACAAAGGAUACCAGGUA
This is a long non-coding RNA of Pantherophis guttatus, 280 nucleotides long. RefSeq lists it as uncharacterized. Lineage: Eukaryota; Metazoa; Chordata; Lepidosauria; Squamata; Colubridae. The record is from RefSeq and is a predicted model, not a curated record.